RNAcentral lists this ribosomal RNA (550 nucleotides) under uncultured Pelagibacterales bacterium. RNAcentral describes it as "bacterial SSU rRNA". It matches the Rfam family "Bacterial small subunit ribosomal RNA", at positions 114 to 698 of the family's 1533-position model. Lineage: Bacteria; Pseudomonadati; Pseudomonadota; Alphaproteobacteria; Candidatus Pelagibacterales. The record is from RNAcentral.
CAUGUGGGUAUCUACCCUUUGGCCUGGAAUAACACGAGGAAACUUGUGCUAAUACCGGAUAAGUCUUUACGGAGAAAGCUUUAUGCACCAUUGGAUGAGCCCGCACUUGAUUAGUUUGUUGGUAGGGUAAUGGCCUACCAAGACUAUGAUCAAUAGCUGAUUUGAGAGGAUGAUCAGCCACAUUGGGACUGAGACACGGCCCAAACUCCUACGGGAGGCAGCAGUGGGGAAUCUUGCACAAUGGAGGAAACUCUGAUGCAGCGAUGCCGCGUGAGUGAAGAAGGCCUUUGGGUUGUAAAGCUCUUUCGUCGGGGAAGAAAAUGACUGUACCCGAAUAAGAAGGUCCGGCUAACUUCGUGCCAGCAGCCGCGGUAAUACGAAGGGACCUAGCGUAGUUCGGAAUUACUGGGCUUAAAGAGUUCGUAGGUGGUUGAAAAAGUUGGUGGUGAAAUCCCAGAGCUUAACUCUGGAACUGCCAUCAAAACUUUUCAGCUAGAGUAUGAUAGAGGAAAGCAGAAUUUCUAGUGUAGAGGUGAAAUUCGUAGAUAUU